RNAcentral lists this long non-coding RNA (4960 nucleotides) under Oryza sativa (Asian cultivated rice). Its description in RNAcentral is "long non-coding RNA (OSAT_LNC001424)". Lineage: Eukaryota; Viridiplantae; Streptophyta; Magnoliopsida; Poales; Poaceae. The record is from RNAcentral.
CUCUUGGUUCGCAGCUGGGAGGGCCAUCAUGGACGGUUCUGUUGGGGAGAAGGGACUCCACCACUGCAAGCGAGGCCUUGGCAAAUACCGACCUCCCUGCCCCUUCCUCUAGCCUCGCAGAACUUAUCGGCAAUUUCUCCAGAAAGGGACUCGACGCAACCGACAUGGUUGCUCUCUCAGGUAAUCCGAUAUGGAGUAUUAUAUACGAGUAUAUAUAUAGAUAGAUUAGGAUACCAUGUAUAUAUGUGUUGCAGAUUUUCUGAUAAGAUGAGAGCGCGAUUAAUUAUUUCGCAGGAGCACACACGAUCGGGCAGGCGCAGUGCCAGAAUUUCAGGGACAGGAUCUACAACGAGACCAACAUCGAUUCCGCCUUCGCGACGCAACGCCAGGCCAACUGCCCACGGCCGACGGGCAGCGGCGACAGCAACCUGGCGCCGCUGGACACGACGACGCCCAACGCCUUCGACAACGCCUACUACAGCAACCUGCUGUCCAACAAGGGGCUCCUGCACUCCGACCAGGUGCUCUUCAACGGCGGCAGCGCGGACAACACGGUCAGGAACUUCGCGUCCAACGCGGCGGCGUUCAGCAGCGCCUUCACGACGGCCAUGGUGAAGAUGGGGAACAUCUCGCCGCUGACCGGGACGCAGGGGCAGAUCAGGCUCAGCUGCUCCAAGGUGAACUCCUAAUUAAGGAGUAGUAUGACGGGAUGCGUUCGUUGCUGGAAGCAAAUCGUGUCGACGACGACAUAAACGGGCCACACCACAUAUACCCAUAUAUGUAGUAUAACCACAAGUAUAGGUACGGUGGUGUUGUACUAGUACACGUAAAGUAUAUGGCAGCCAGCUCGCUCUAGCAAUCCAUCAAGUGUAUGGAGCAGAGCAGCCAUGGCAUUAGCACCUAGUAUACCAAAAUAAAAGCUCCUCAUGCGAAGGCAUGCAUGGAGGAUUAAUGAACUGUUACCUUCACACACAUGUCCGUUCACAACUUCUCCAGACUUUUACGGUACAUCAAGCUCCGUUUUUUCAAGUAAACAACACUAGAUUAUGUUUUUUCAUUAGAUAGAGAAAAAAUAAAUACAACCUGCCCCUAGGAGCGAAAAAAAGAAGAAGAAAAAGCCCGUCUUUACAAAUUAUAUACUGAUAGGUAAUAACUCUCUAAGUCAUUUUGUUCCUGCCAUAGUCCAAGUCUUCUUCCUCUAUUUUUGCUAGGAGGGUUAUUGUCGUGGUCUCCUUGUUAGAAAUUUUGUUGGUUCCUCUCCUUCCGUAUCUUCUAGACGACAAGGAGAAUUAGGGAGCGCAAUCCCCGCUUUGGCAUAAAUGUCGUGUUUGGCACACACAUUGAUAGGGGUGGCUAACAAGCCGACUCGGCUCGACUCGUAAAAACUCAUUAAGUUAAUGAGCUAGCUUGGCUCGACUCGUUAACAUAACGAGUUAAAAAUGGAACUCGACUCGACUCAUUAAAAAGUCCGAGUUGACUCAUUAAACGUGUUACACCAAAAAACAUGGUUUGAAAUUCAUAUGCAAUAUAAUUUGUGAUUCUAUGACAAAAAUUAUGAUUGGCGUGCUAUGUAUCAUGGCUCAUAAGAUUGUACUACAAUGUAUAAUUAUGAGUAUAUGACUUUUACACCUGUAAAAUAUGAACAAUUAACUUCUAUCUUAGUGUAUCAUGAGCUCAACGAGCUAAUCGAGUAACUCACGAGCUAGCUCGAGUUGGCUCGUUAAGUAAACGAGUAAAAGUUCAAACUCAUUAACUACUCGAGUUAAGUCGAGCCGAGCCGAGUUUUACACAAGUUGAGCUAGCUCGUAAGUUCGAUUUUUUUUCCACCCCUGCACAUCGAGCUCUGUUUCGCUAUUGAUGUUGGUUGACACGGUGAACUUUGACUCUUUGAGUAUCAAUUAUCAAACGGUGUACUCCUACCGUCUUACGUGCCAUUGCCAUCCCGCGCGGCCGCACCGUCCCAAACUCCCACCGACGCAAGCAAGCGCCGCCCUUCCGCUUGGGCCGUUUUACGCCCGAAUGGUCCGAGACCUACCUAUUGGGCCUUUGGACCGUGUGACGCCACAUUUCGCUCGCAGUGUCUGUCAGACCAGGGAUGGUGGCCCGUGGGCGCUGAGCAGGCCGGCCUUUCAUUUAGUUCGUGUCACCUGUAGGCGGCUAGGCCGGAGGGAAACUAACGUACACUUUUGUUGUUAUUUAUAACUUUAUCGACUAUAAAUUUUGAUAAGCAACAAAUCAAACAUGCCAUAAUCAAUUAGGCAAAAUUCAGUAAUUUACCUUAGCAAAAUUUAGUAAUGGAAAAAUUAGGAAAAACUAAAGUUAUAUUCCCUCCUCCUCAAAAAGAAUACAAUUUUAGAUUUUAAAUUUAUUCCAACAUAUAACGUACUCUAUAGUAUUGCUUUUUCGUCCAACCACCACUCAUUCACCCAUAUAUUACUAACCUAGCUACUCCACCAUUCCCAACUGUCCCUCAUUUGAUGAGUGGUCGAGUAUUUUUCCUAUACUAUACUAGUUUGUCUUUUAAAUAUUACAAUUGUAUUUUUCUUUUUUAGAAUUGAGGUAGUAAAUUUGUAAACAAAGUGAACAGGCCACCAACCUACUAGGUGGACCACUGUACACGAUAAUAUUAUUUGUGCUAUUGUGUUUAUUUUAAUCUAAGUUGCAAAUCAAGAGAGUAUUUUAUUUCAUUCAAAAAGGAAUAAUUUGUGAAACACUCAGCAACUGUAUAAUAUUAGCCGUGAAACUCGGUUAACCAUAAUUUUUUUUCAAAGGAACUAUACGAUAAUUUAAUUAUUUUACUAUCCGCAUUUUAUGGCUUAAGAAACAAGAGUAACAUACGGCACAUGCAACAACCACCAUUCUAGCUAGAGCUAGAAAUGUCGGCCCAACUUGUGAUAGCUAAUUACGUUCGAAUGGAAAAUCAUAUCACCAACAUGCAUGGUUUAAUCAUGGCAACGCUGAUGCGAAAGCUCUCGCAGAUCUAUUAUUUUUUCCCUGGAGAUUGAUCGAAAAUGAUGGCACAACGGUAUGUAAUGCUAUAACAGCAUAUAUUGUCUUGUAACACACCGUUUGCACUUAAAUUAGACAAUUAGUCCGAACGUACAUAAGAAGAUGAAUUGCGAUAGACCAUUCUAGCUCGUCACGAGCUGAAUAGUUCUCGCACUAUUAUACCCGAGAUCAAUUAGCAGAGUAUUAAUAAGGUAAAGUUAUUUUCAUAAACUCUGUACGACGAUAGUGCAUACAUACCAAUCUUUAACAAAGGGACAAAUUAUCGACGGCAUUUGUAUGUUCAUGUGCUAUUCUAUGGCACGGGUGCUCUUUUUUUUUGGCUUAAGCAACGCGUGAUUAAUGGUUAACAGAUUAAGGUCAAGCGAAAUGGACCGAACUGACCCUACAUUGCAUGAAUAAUGCAGAGGUGAUGAUGUUGGCCGUAGGCCGUACGUAGAAACUUAUGUUGGACACACAUGUAAGUACUAGUAGUCUAGUAGCACUAAUAAAGUUAACUAAUAAAUUAUAUAUGAUGUCACUUUAAAAAAUACAGAUUCAAAUUCGAUAUAUUGAAGUUGAACAAAUUAAAUUCUAGCUAGUUAGUAUGCACACAUUCACACUCAUAUUUGUUUUUGUGUUGUAAUUUAUAGAAGUUAAAAUUCAACUUGCAAUUUGUUAGUAAAAACAUAACUAUUUAGAUGACUAGAAACAUAUCCUUCUGUUGUAAUGUGCCAGGCUCAUAUAAGUAGAAAUAUGCUAUUAGAAAAUUAGAGAUAGUACUCUGUGCGUGGUGGGAGGAGGGAUGAAAAAAUGACGAGUUCGAUUUUAAGGUAGUAGAGAUAUGUACAAAGCAAUAGGAUAUUCCUAUUGAGAUUAAAAUACAUUCCCCUGCCCAGCUCCCCUCGUAUGAUUAAUGUACCUGCAUAUUUCGUCUCAUCUCGGCACCAAUCGAUGGCGUCAAGCCUGUAGCUAAGCUAGCUAUAUAAGAUGCAGCGUGGCACCAGCCUCUCUUGCAAGCCACGGCCAGCGAAAAAGCUUAAAAAAAACUGCAGUUAUUUAGGUAGGAUUAAGCAUACGCGCACGGCGCAUCAUAUCGCUCACUCUGCAUGGCUUCGGCUUCUUCUGUCAGCUUAAUGCUGCUCGUGGCUGCAGCUAUGGCCUCAGCCGCCUCGGCGCAGCUGUCGGCGACGUUCUACGACACGUCGUGCCCAAACGCAUUGUCCACCAUCAAGAGCGCAGUGACGGCCGCCGUGAACAGCGAGCCCCGAAUGGGAGCCUCGCUGGUCAGGCUGCACUUCCACGACUGCUUCGUCCAAGCAAGUUUUGAUCACCUAAUCUAAUCAGCUGUACAAGUAGUUCUCCUUAGACUGUACUUUGAGACAAGGAAAUUAAUAACAGAGGAUGUAUCUAUGGACUUCACUGAUGAUGCAGGGCUGUGACGCGUCUGUUCUGCUGUCCGGCCAGGAGCAGAAUGCAGGCCCGAACGCUGGGUCACUUCGGGGAUUCAACGUCGUCGACAACAUCAAGACGCAGGUCGAGGCCAUCUGCAGCCAGACCGUCUCCUGCGCCGACAUCCUCGCCGUCGCCGCCCGUGACUCCGUCGUCGCGGUAAGAUCACGGAUGAGAUUACUACAUGAUGCAUAUAUUUCUUGUAGACUGUAGUAGUACGUACUCCUAAUCGCUCUUGGUUUGGUUUGGAAUCCUUAUAUUUGCAGCUCGGAGGGCCGUCGUGGACGGUUCUAUUGGGAAGAAGGGACUCCACCACUGCGAACGAAAGCCAAGCAAAUACCGACCUCCCUGCCCCUUCCUCUAGCCUCGCUGAACUUAUCGGCAAUUUCUCCAGAAAGGGACUCGACGUAACCGACAUGGUUGCUCUCUCAGGUACAUAUAUAUGUACACAGAUUAUAUCAGUGAUUGAUUCUCUUACAAAUUUUCUGAUAAGAAUCAUAAUACGAUGAGAACUUGCAGGCGC